This 327-nucleotide small nuclear RNA is filed under the name Pogona vitticeps (central bearded dragon). Its description in RNAcentral is "7SK RNA (ENSPVIG00000025488.1)". It matches the Rfam family "7SK RNA". From Rfam's summary of the family: 7SK was discovered as an abundant small nuclear RNA in the mid-70s but a possible function has only recently been suggested. Two independent studies have found that 7SK RNA binds the CDK9/cyclin T complex (known as elongation factor P-TEFb). P-TEFb activates transcription by phosphorylating the C-terminal domain of RNA polymerase II. Lineage: Eukaryota; Metazoa; Chordata; Lepidosauria; Squamata; Agamidae. The record is from Rfam by way of RNAcentral.
AAAUGGAAAACUGACUGAAAGCUUAGAGACCUGUCACCCCACCCAUGACUAGUGUUGGGUCUGCUGAUAUGGCUGCCUAGGUGAAUAUCCCCUUCCUCCUUCACUGCUUGGUGUGUGUCUUUCCCAAAGUUGUCCACUUGGUGGAAGGGAUAAAAGUGCAGAUAGAAGUGCACCAGUCUUCAGUCAGGUGGCUAAGAUAGCUGCACUCCCUGCCAGAACCUCCAAGCUCAAGAUCCAUUUAUAAAACAGUGUUAUUGUUCUGUGCAGUCAAGUAAGAACUAAUUUAUAGCGACCCUAAUAGGGCUUUCUCGGUAAGUGAGAUAUUUA